ACACCUCAACUCUCACGGCCUCGCCGUGACGAGCUUGGACUUUGGGGGUCUUGCUGGCCUGUGGUCAGCUCCCCUCAAAUAAAUCAGCUUGCCAGUGUCUGGUGGCAUCACGGGUGUGAUAACUAUCUACGCUUGUGGUUUUCCACCGGGUAACCUUCAGUGAUGGAGGUUCGCUGGAGCUCAUAAACGUCUCUCCUCAGCGAGGACAGCUUCUUGAAC
This 219-nucleotide unclassified non-coding RNA is filed under the name uncultured Thelephoraceae. Its description in RNAcentral is "sequence contains ITS2". The record is from RNAcentral. Lineage: Eukaryota; Fungi; Basidiomycota; Agaricomycetes; Thelephorales; Thelephoraceae.